RNAcentral lists this ribosomal RNA (428 nucleotides) under uncultured bacterium. RNAcentral's name for it is "bacterial SSU rRNA". It matches the Rfam family "Bacterial small subunit ribosomal RNA", at positions 954 to 1380 of the family's 1533-position model. The record is from RNAcentral.
GCAGAACGCGAAGAACCUUACCUACACUUGACAUACCUCUUGGGACUUUCAGAGAUGAUUGUUUUCGGUUCGGCCGGGGAGAGUACAGGUGCUGCAUGGCUGUCGUCAGCUCGUGUCGUGAGAUGUUGGGUUAAGUCCCGCAACGAGCGCAACCCUUAUCGUAUGUUGCCAGCAUUUAGUUGGGCACUCAUGCGAGACUGCCGGUGAUAAGCCGGAGGAAGGCGGGGACGACGUCAAGUCAUCAUGGCCCUUACGUGUAGGGCUAGAAACGUGCUACAAUGGCGGUGACAAUGGGCAGCGAGGUCGUGAGGCCAAGCUAAUCCCUAAAAGCCGUCUCAGUUCAGAUUGUAGUCUGCAACUCGACUACAUGAGGUUGGAAUCGCUAGUAAUCGUGAAUCAGCAUGUCACGGUGAAUACGUUCCCGGGUC